RNAcentral lists this ribosomal RNA (400 nucleotides) under uncultured bacterium. Its description in RNAcentral is "bacterial SSU rRNA". It matches the Rfam family "Bacterial small subunit ribosomal RNA", at positions 356 to 773 of the family's 1533-position model. The record is from RNAcentral.
GGGGAAUAUUGGACAAUGGGCGCAAGCCUGAUCCAGCCAUGCCGCGUGAGUGAUGAAGGCCUUAGGGUUGUAAAGCUCUUUCAGUGGGGAAGAUAAUGACGGUACCCACAGAAGAAGCCCCGGCUAACUUCGUGCCAGCAGCCGCGGUAAUACGAAGGGGGCUAGCGUUGUUCGGAUUUACUGGGCGUAAAGCGCGCGUAGGCGGAUUGGUCAGUUAGGGGUGAAAGCCCGGAGCUCAACUCCGGAACUGCCCUUAAUACUGCCAGUCUAGAGUCCGGAAGAGGUAAGUGGAACUCCUAGUGUAGAGGUGGAAUUCGUAGAUAUUAGGAAGAACACCAGUGGCGAAGGCGGCUUACUGGUCCGGCACUGACGCUGAGGCGCGAAAGCGUGGGGAGCAAAC